Molecule: unclassified non-coding RNA, 335 nt
Filed under: soil metagenome
Description: partial contains 5.8S ribosomal RNA, internal transcribed spacer 2, and large subunit ribosomal RNA
Rfam family: 5.8S ribosomal RNA (bases 5-121)
Source: RNAcentral
GAUGGAAGAACGCAGCUAAAUGCGAUAAGUAAUGUGAAUUGCAGAAUUCAGUGAAUCAUCGAAUCUUUGAACGCACAUUGCGCCCGCCAGUAUUCUGGCGAGCAUGCCUGUUCGAGCGUCAUUUCAACCAUCAAGCCCCAGGCUUGUGUUGGAGCCCUGCGGCUGCCGCAGCCUCCCAAAACCAGUGGCGGGCUCGCUAUCACACCGAGUGCAGUAGUUUACUCUUCGCUCAGGGCGUGUGGCGGGUGCUAGCCGUGAAACCCCCAACUUCUCAAGGUUGACCUCGGAUCAGGUAGGAAUACCCGCUGAACUUAAGCAUAUCAAUAAGCGGAGGA